Molecule: ribosomal RNA, 483 nt
Filed under: uncultured bacterium
Lineage: Bacteria
Description: bacterial SSU rRNA
Rfam family: Bacterial small subunit ribosomal RNA
Source: RNAcentral
AACGAACGCUGGCGGCAUGCCUAACACAUGCAAGUCGAGGGGUAUUGGUUUUCGGACCAAGAGACCGGCGCACGGGUGCGUAACGCGUAUGCAAUCUACCUUUUGCAGAGGGAUAGCCCAGAGAAAUUUGGAUUAAUACCUCAUAGUAUAGUACUUUGGCAUCAGGGAACUAUUAAAGUCACAACGGCAAAAGAUGAGCAUGCGUCCCAUUAGCUAGAUGGUAAGGUAACGGCUUACCAUGGCUACGAUGGGUAGGGGUCCUGAGAGGGAGAUCCCCCACACUGGUACUGAGACACGGACCAGACUCCUACGGGAGGCAGCAGUGAGGAAUAUUGGACAAUGGGCGCAAGCCUGAUCCAGCCAUGCCGCGUGCAGGAAGAAGCAUCUAUGGUGUGUAAACUGCUUUGUACGGGAAGAAACACUCCUACGUGUAGGAGCUUGACGGUACCGUAAGAAUAAAGGAUCCGGCUAACUCCGUGCCAG